RNAcentral lists this ribosomal RNA (541 nucleotides) under uncultured fungus. Its description in RNAcentral is "eukaryotic LSU rRNA". The stretch from base 180 to 333 matches the Rfam family "5.8S ribosomal RNA". Lineage: Eukaryota; Fungi. The record is from RNAcentral.
UCCGUAGGUGAACCUGCGGAAGGAUCAUUAUUGAUUUUAAAGGAUGUGCUGGCAUUUAUGUAUGUGCACUCUGAACAAAACCAAUAUCCACCUGUGCACACUUGUAGGCAUUGUUUUGCCUAUGUUUCUUCACAAACAACCAUUGAUGUAUCUGAAUGCUAUUUGAUAAAUUGUAAUACAACUUUCAACAACGGAUCUCUUGGUUCUGGCAUCGAUGAAGAACGCAGCGAAAUGCGAUAAGUAAUGUGAAUUGCAGAAUUCAGUGAAUCAUCGAAUCUUUGAACGCACAUUGCGCCCCCUGGUAUUCCGGGGGGCAUGCCUGUCCGAGCGUCAUUACAACCCUCAAGCUCAGCUUGGUAUUGGGCCCCGCCGACCCGGCGGGCCCUAAAGUCAGUGGCGGUGCCGUCCGGCUCCGAGCGUAGUAAUUCUUCUCGCUCUGGAGGUCCGGUCGUGUGCUCGCCAGCAACCCCCAAUUUUUUCAGGUUGACCUCGGAUCAGGUAGGGAUACCCGCUGAACUUAAGCAUAUCAAUAAGCGGAGGA